GAUGAACGCUGGCGGCGUGCUUAACACAUGCAAGUCGAACGGGAUCCAAGGGGUGCUUGCACUUUUUGGUGAGAGUGGCGAACGGGUGAGUAACACGUGAGUAACCUGUCCUUUUCUUUGGGAUAAGCAUUCGAAAGGGUGUUUAAUACCUUAUGUUCUGUCUGCCUCGCAUGGGGUGGGUGGGAAAGGCUUUGGCCGGAUUUGGGUGGGCUCGCGGUCUAUCAGCUUGUUGGUGGGGUGAUGGCUUACCAAGGCUUUGACGGGUAGCCGGCCUGAGAGGGUGGGCGGUCACAUUGGGACUGAGAUACGGCCCAGACUCCUACGGGAGGCAGCAGUGGGGGAUAGUGCACAAUGGGCGAAAGCCUGAUGCAGCGACGCCGCGUGGGGGAUGAAGGCCUGCGGGUUGUAAACUUCUGUUGCUCUGAACAAGGCAUGCCAGUGGGUGUGUUGAGUGUAGGGGUUGAUUAGCGCCGGCUAACUACGUG
Molecule: ribosomal RNA, 485 nt
Filed under: uncultured bacterium
Lineage: Bacteria
Description: partial 16S ribosomal RNA
Rfam family: Bacterial small subunit ribosomal RNA
Source: RNAcentral